Molecule: ribosomal RNA, 103 nt
Filed under: Perkinsus marinus
Lineage: Eukaryota; Perkinsozoa; Perkinsida; Perkinsidae
Description: large subunit ribosomal RNA
Source: RNAcentral
UCAUAAUAUAAAAUAUAAUAAUUAGAGAUAAUAGUUCAUUAUAAUAUAAGAUAUAUUAGCUGGGUUAAUAGCGUCUAAUGGCAGUUUAUUAUAUAUUGUUAGG